AACAUAUUGUACAUCCACGCAUUAUUUUUUCUAUUUAUUUCACAUCUUUUCCAAAUACGGCUUGAAAUGUUUAAAUUUUACGUAUUUUAUUAAUUCCAUUUGAAUUUGAAUAUGAAUAUGAAGAAACGCAUAUUGCAAGCAAUGCGGACACUAUGGACCUAAGGUCUGCGAGUGAAACGACUAGCAACAGAGGCUGCUAGUCGUGUGUUCUAAAAGGUUGGGUAUGUCUCUUGGAAAAGCUUGGAAGUGUCUCUGACUUCAGAAAGCAACAAUUUACUCAGCUCAUGCUGCGGUAUAAACCCUAAAAAUUAACUUUAAUUGCAUCUUACCUUUCUUCAAGAAAGGAUCUACAAGUUUCCAUUUCCAAGAUUGGAGAUCAACCAAUUGGCAAAUUCUUACUUACGAUCCGACCAACCCUAAUGUACAUAUAAAGCUACAAUUGUGAAUAGUAAAGAGAAGCAAGAAAACAGUGCAACAGCCAAGCAGACCAAAAACAUAAGAGAGCGCAACAAUUUCAACUUAAACUCAAUACUCAAGAAAUAUUGAAAUAAAAAACCAAACAAAUGGUAAAUCGACUAAAAGAAUCGAAGCCGAAACAAAAAGAAAAAGUCGUUACAAUUCAAAGUAAGCCAAAAAAAACAUAAGCAUCUGGGGUCUAUCAAUGGAAGGGGAAGAGAGCUAGCCCAUAAUGAUCUCAGAUACAAUGUGAAGAUACUUUACCGCAAGUGUUCCUGCAGUACUACUCUAGAUUUGUUUGGGGUGUUUUUGUUGUUAUUUAUUUUGGAAGAAGUAUUUAAUAAAUAAGCAAAAUAAUCGUGCGAGUGUGUGUGUGUGUGUAGCGAAUGACACGAAUGUAGCAAAUGUGUGGUUUGGUGGUUCAAUUCGAUCAAUAGAUCGAUAGUUAGAUCGUCCAUGGAGCACCAUGAUAGAGAAGAACACACAUAAACAUAAGAGGCAUUGAACGACAUACGCCGGCGACAUGGAGACAUUAAAAGGUUGAAUGGCGGUGGAGGUUUAUGAUUACAUCAUUAUACAUUAACAACAGCAACAACAAGAACAACAAUCAUGGCAACAGCAACAAUGACAAAGUCAACAAACAAAUUGUUGAAUCAAUGGGUGGAUGGAUGCAAAGAUGGCCGAAUAUUCGUUCAGUUGUCGUUUUGAAGUCAUGAUUUGGAUGAGGAUGAUAGUAGAUCGAUGGUGUGUGGUGGUGCAAAGUGAUGUGAGGUGCAGAUGAUGGGUGGCAAAGACAAAAAUUAUGGAUUUCAUUGAAUUUGUUUUGUUACACAAUCGCCAGAAAGCACGUAGUAGCCCAUUGUAAUACACGUCGCGGCAUGGGUGGGUGAUGAGCAUCCAAUGUUUUUAGUGUGAAGUUUGUUUGUUUUUUUUUGCGUCGUCAUGGCAUGACGGUGAUAAUGAUGCGUGUGAUAUGAAUACAAUAUCAGAUCAGAUGAGAUCAAUUCAUUAUAACGAAGAUUAUGAUGGUGGCGAUGACGAUGAUAAUGACCAUAACGAUGACAAUGGUGUUAACGAUUGAUGAGACGUCAAUUAUACAUAUGGACAGUUAUGGGUUAAGUAGCGAUUAUGACAAUAGCGACAAUGAGGCGAUAUAGGAUGGGGGUAGACAAAGAGGAAGAGACAGAGAAAGAAAGAAAUGCACACAAAAAAUCGGGUUAAAUAUCAAUGAUCAAGAAAUACUGGGGCUCGUAUGUGGC
Stomoxys calcitrans (stable fly) is the source of this 1715-nucleotide long non-coding RNA. RefSeq lists it as uncharacterized. The transcript has 3 exons. The record is from RefSeq and is a predicted model, not a curated record. Lineage: Eukaryota; Metazoa; Arthropoda; Insecta; Diptera; Muscidae.